RNAcentral lists this ribosomal RNA (451 nucleotides) under uncultured archaeon. RNAcentral describes it as "bacterial SSU rRNA". It matches the Rfam family "Archaeal small subunit ribosomal RNA", at positions 173 to 622 of the family's 1478-position model. The record is from RNAcentral.
GAAUGCUUUACGGUUCAAAUGGAUUCGUCCGCCCAAGGAUGGGUCUGCGGCCUAUCAGGUAGUAGCAGGUGUAAUGUACCUGCUAGCCAACGACGGGUACGGGUUGUGAGAGCAAGAGCCCGGAGAUGGAUUCUGAGACAUGAAUCCAGGCCCUACGGGGCGCAGCAGGCGCGAAAACUUUACAAUGCGGGCAACCGUGAUAAGGGGACACCGAGUGCCAGCAACAAUUGCUGGCUGUCCAUGUGCUUAAAUUGCACGUGUUAGCAAGGGCCGGGCAAGACCGGUGCCAGCCGCCGCGGUAACACCGGCGGCCCGAGUGGUGAUCGUUAUUAUUGGGUCUAAAGGGUCCGUAGCCGGUUUAGUCAGUCCUCCGGGAAAUCUGCCAGCUUAACUGGUAGGCUAUCGGGGGAUACUGCUAGACUUGGAACCGGGAGAGGUAAGAGGUACUACA